This 1346-nucleotide ribosomal RNA is filed under the name uncultured bacterium. RNAcentral describes it as "bacterial SSU rRNA". It matches the Rfam family "Bacterial small subunit ribosomal RNA", at positions 60 to 1427 of the family's 1533-position model. The record is from RNAcentral.
AGUCGAACGGACGAUGCGAUUUCGGUCGCAAAGUUAGUGGCGGACGGGUGAGUAAUGCAUGAGCAACCUGCCUUUCCGCGGGGAAUAACACAGGGAAACCGGUGCUAAUACCGCAUACGCCAUUUUGACCGCAUGAUCGGAAUGGGAAAGGGGCAAUUCACGGAAAGAUGGGCUCAUGUCUGAUUAGAUAGUUGGUGAGGUAACGGCCCACCAAGUCGACGAUCAGUAGCCGGACUGAGAGGUUGAACGGCCACAUUGGAACUGAGAUACGGUCCAGACUCCUACGGGAGGCAGCAGUGGGGAAUAUUGGGCAAUGGGGGAAACCCUGACCCAGCGACGCCGCGUGAAGGAAGAAGGUCUUCGGAUUGUAAACUUUAAAUAGCAGGGACGAAAAAAAUGACGUUACCUGCAGGGAAGCCACGGCUAACUACGUGCCAGCAGCCGCGGUAAUACGUAGGUGGCAAGCGUUAUCCGGAUUUACUGGGUGUAAAGGGUGCGUAGGCGGGUACUCAAGUCAGAUGUGAAAUACUUUGGCUCAACCAAAGAAUUGCAUUUGAAACUGAGUAUCUUGAGAGCAGGAGAGGUAAGCGGAAUUCCCAGUGUAGCGGUGAAAUGCGUAGAGAUUGGGAGGAACACCAGUGGCGAAGGCGGCUUACUGGACUGCAACUGACGCUGAAGCACGAGAGCGUGGGGAGCAAACAGGAUUAGAUACCCUGGUAGUCCACGCUGUAAACGAUGAAUACUAGGUGUAGGUCAGAAAUGAUCUGUGCCGGAGUAAACACGAUAAGUAUUCCACCUGGGGAGUACGACCGCAAGGUUGAAACUCAAAGGAAUUGACGGGAGCCCGCACAAGCAGUGGAGUAUGUGGUUUAAUUCGAAGCAACGCGAAGAACCUUACCAGAGCUUGACAUCCACGGAAUACGGCGUAAUGGCUGUAGUGCCCGUAAGGGAGCCGUGAGACAGGUGGUGCAUGGUUGUCGUCAGCUCGUGUCGUGAGAUGUUGGGUUAAGUCCCGCAACGAGCGCAACCCUUAUGAUUAGUUGCUACGGAAGAGCACUCUAAUCAGACUGCCGUUGACAAAACGGAGGAAGGUGGGGACGACGUCAAAUCAUCAUGCCCCUUACGUUCUGGGCUACACACGUACUACAAUGGCGUCCAACAACGGGGAGCGAAAGCGCGAGCCGGAGCAAAUCCCAAAAAGACGUCCCAGUUCAGACUGCAGGCUGCAACUCGCCUGCACGAAGUUGGAAUUGCUAGUAAUCGCGGAUCAGCAUGUCGCGGUGAAUACGUUCCCGGGCUUUGUACACACCGCCCGUCAAACCACGAAGGUCGGGAAGACCCGAAGU